CGCGUAGGCGGUCAUGCAAGUCAGGUGUGAAAUCCCCAGGCUUAACCUGGGAACUGCGCUUGAAACUGCAUAGCUUGAGGCCGGGAGAGGAAAGUGGAAUUCCUGGUGUAGCGGCGAAAUGCGUAGAUAUCAGGAGGAACACCGGUGGCGAAGGCGGCUUUCUGGACCGGUUCUGACGCUGAAGCGCGAAAGCGUGGGGAGCAAACGG
This 208-nucleotide ribosomal RNA is filed under the name uncultured bacterium. Its description in RNAcentral is "partial 16S ribosomal RNA". It matches the Rfam family "Bacterial small subunit ribosomal RNA", at positions 568 to 775 of the family's 1533-position model. The record is from RNAcentral.